RNAcentral lists this long non-coding RNA (538 nucleotides) under Ursus thibetanus thibetanus. RNAcentral describes it as "lncRNA (ENSUTTG00000002362.1)". Lineage: Eukaryota; Metazoa; Chordata; Mammalia; Carnivora; Ursidae. The record is from RNAcentral.
CCUCUUCCAGUUAAACAAUGCCAUGUCUUAUUAGUUUAGGCUGCUAUAACAGAGUACCAAAAACUGGGUGACAUAUAAAUGACAAAUUUAUUUCUCACAGUUCUGGAGGCUGGGAAGGCCAAGAUCAAAGAGCCAGCAGAUUCAGUGUCUGGUGAGAGCUUGCCUCCUGGUUCAUAGACUGCCAUCUUCUCACUGUGUCCUCACUCGGCAAGGAUUUGACUGCUACCACCAUCCUAUGGCAGGCUUGAACUCACGACCCCAAGAUCAAGACCUGAGCUGAAAUCAGGAGUCAGAUGCUUAACCAACUGAGCCCCGCAGAUCAAGAACACAAAGUCAACAUAAAGCACAGAACAUUAUUCUGGUGAGAUCAGGAUCUGCUACCUGGGCGUAAAAGGUAAAUAGUAACUUUUUAUUGCUAUUUACAGUAACUACAGUAACUAACAGUAACUAUUUAUUUAUUAUAUAAAUAUAUAUAUAUAUAUAUUUUCAGUAUACAAGUCUUCAUAUAUAUGUAUUCAGUAUACAAGUCUCUCUCUCU